UGGGGAAUUUUCCGCAAUGGGCGAAAGCCUGACGGAGCAAUACCGCGUGAGGGAAGACUGCCUAUGGGUUGUAAACCUCUUUUUUCAGGGAGGAAUUAAUGACGUGUACCUGAAGAAUAAGCAUCGGCUAACUCCGUGCCAGCAGCCGCGGUAAGACGGAGGAUGCAAGUGUUAUCCGGAAUCACUGGGCGUAAAGCGUCUGUAGGUGGUCAAAUAAGUCAACUGUUAAAUCUUGAAGCUUAACUUCAAAAUCGCAGUCGAAACUAUUAGACUAGAGUAUAGUAGAGGUAAAGGGAAUUUCCAGUGGAGCGGUGAAAUGCGUAGAUAUUGGAAAGAACACCAAUGGCGAAGGCACUUUACUGGGCUAUUACUAACACUCAGAGACGAAAGCUAGGGUAGCAAAUGGGAUUAGAUACCCCAGUAGUCCUAGCUGUAAACAAUGGAUACUAGAUGUUGAACAGAUCGACCUGUGCAGUAUCAAAGCUAACGCGUUAAGUAUCCCGCCUGGGAAGUAUGCUCGCAAGAGUG
Molecule: ribosomal RNA, 528 nt
Filed under: Ditylum brightwellii
Lineage: Eukaryota; Bacillariophyta; Thalassiosirophyceae; Lithodesmiales; Lithodesmiaceae
Description: bacterial SSU rRNA
Rfam family: Bacterial small subunit ribosomal RNA
Source: RNAcentral